GACGAACGCUGGCGGCGUGCCUAAUACAUGCAAGUUGAGCGAUGAAGAUUGGUGCUUGCACCAAUUUGAAGAGCAGCGAACGGGUGAGUAACGCGUGGGGAAUCUGCCUUUGAGCGGGGGACAACAUUUGGAAACGAAUGCUAAUACCGCAUAACAACUUUAAACAUAAGUUUUAAGUUUGAAAGAUGCAAUUGCAUCACUCAAAGAUGAUCCCGCGUUGUAUUAGCUAGUUGGUGAGGUAAAGGCUCACCAAGGCGAUGAUACAUAGCCGACCUGAGAGGGUGAUCGGCCACAUUGGGACUGAGACACGGCCCAAACUCCUACGGGAGGCAGCAGUAGGGAAUCUUCGGCAAUGGACGAAAGCCUGACCGAGCAACGCCGCGUGAGUGAAGAAGGUUUUCGGAUCGUAAAACUCUGUUGGUAGAGAAGAACGUUGGUGAGAGUGGAAAGCUCAUCAAGUGACGGUAACUACCCAGAAAGGGACGGCUAACUACGUG
RNAcentral lists this ribosomal RNA (497 nucleotides) under uncultured bacterium. RNAcentral describes it as "partial 16S ribosomal RNA". It matches the Rfam family "Bacterial small subunit ribosomal RNA", at positions 28 to 507 of the family's 1533-position model. The record is from RNAcentral.